GACGAACGCUGGCGGCGUGCUUAAAACAUGCAAGUCGAACGGACUUCUCAUGAAGCUUGCGAUUGAGAAGUUAGUGGCGGACGGGUGAGUAACGCGUGGGCAACCUGCCCCUGAGCCCGGGAUAACAGUUCGAAAGGACUGCUAAGACCGGAUAUACUUGCGGGGAAGCAUUUCACUGCAAGGAAAGGGAACGCUCAGGGGAUGGGCCCGCGUCCCAUUAGCUAGUUGGUGAGGUAACGGCCCACCAAGGCGACGAUGGGUAGCCGGCCUGAGAGGGUGAACGGCCACACUGGGACUGAGACACGGCCCAGACUCCUACGGGAGGCAGCAGUUGGGAAUCUUCGGCAAUGGGCGCAAGCCUGACCCAGCAACGCCGCGUGAGGGAAGAAGGUUUUCGGAUUGUAAACCUCUGUUCUUGGUGACGAAAAGAUGACGGUAGCCAAGGAGAAAGCCCCGGCUAACUACGUG
This 468-nucleotide ribosomal RNA is filed under the name uncultured bacterium. RNAcentral's name for it is "bacterial SSU rRNA". It matches the Rfam family "Bacterial small subunit ribosomal RNA", at positions 28 to 507 of the family's 1533-position model. The record is from RNAcentral.